AAUAGUUGGUACGAAGCCCAAAUAUGGAAAUCAACCCAAAUCAUGAUGAUAACAAAUAAGUUUCAGUCAAAUACGCGGUAAAAUCAUCAAUCGGGGCGGACUAAGUCACAUUUCCCAAUAGUGCAUGACCCCACGCUCGUCAACAAGUGUGUACCUCACCUCAAUAUAGCAUUACAAUGUGCAAUCUGGGGUUUCAAACCCUUAAGAGCAUCAUUUACAAUCAUUACUCACCUCGAACCGGCUAAUUCUCUAGAUCGCGACGCCUUUGCCCCUCAAAUUGGCCUCCACGCGCGUCGAAUCUAUCCAAAAUCAGAACGAAUACAUCACAAUAUGCUAAGGGAACAAAGCCCAAGCGAAAACAAUCGAAUUACCAUAAAAUUCUAGAAAUUGGUCAAACCCGACCCCCGGGCCCACAUCUUGAAAUUUGACAAAAUUCACAAAACUAGAAUCCUUAUACCCUCACGAGUCUAACCAUACAAAAAUUAUCCAAUUCCGAUACUAUUUGGUCCUUCAAUUCAUCAUUUUACAUUUUUGAAAGAUUUCACAAUUUUUUCCCAAAUUCCAUCCCAAAUCACGAAUUAAAUGAUGGAUUUAUGUACUCUAGCCAAAUCUGAGUUAGAAUCACUUACCCCGAUGAAUUUCUUGAAAAACCUUCGAAAUAUUGCCAAAAUCCGAGCUCUCUAGGUUAAAAUAUCAAAUAAAUCCCAAAAAACCUCGUAUUUAUAGAGUACCCCACAGAUUUCCAUCUCCGCGGACCGCACAAAAUCGACCACGGUCCGCACAAAAAUGACCGCGGCCGCACAGGCUUUCCUCUGCAGUGAUAGGCUUUAGUAUUUUGGCCAUACCUUAUGCUAUAAAUAUCCAAAUUGCGAUAUCCUUACCUUUCUAGAAAUUAGACACGAAGGACUACAACUUUUGUUUUUGAAUCAUCUCAAAAUUCCUUGUAGAUCAAAAGAUAUGAGCUACCAAAGUAGGACCAUUGAAAUGUCCCCCACCGCGGCCGCACUGCAUUUUGUGCGGUCCGCACAACACCUACCACUGCCGCACUUCAUUUUGUGCAGUCCGAACAGCACAUACCGCGGCCGCACUUCUUUUUGUGCAGACAGCGCGAGUGGGUUCCGAGGCCUGCAACCCUUCUAGACCUGCUACAGCUAUGAUUUUCGGCCUAACCGGAACCUACCCGGAACUCCUGGAACUUCAAAACAAUUGUACCAACACAUCCCAUGACAUUGUUCAAACUUGUUCAAAACUUCGGAACGCUCACAACAACAUCGAAUCAUCAAUUUAACAUAGGAUUCAAGCGUAAGAACUCCAAGAACUCUUAAAUUAUGCUUUCGAUCAAAAAGUCUAUCAAGUCUCACUCGAAUGACCUAAAAUAUUGCACACACAUCCCAAAUGACACUACGAAGCUACUGCAACUCUCGGAAUUCCAUUCCGACCCCUAUAUCAAAAUCUCACCUAUCAACCGGAAAGCGCCGAAAUCUCAAUUUCGCCAAUCCAAUCCUAAACCUUCCACGGACUUCCAAAAUACAUUCUGAUCACGCUCCUAAGUCCCAAUUCACCUAACGGAGCUAACCAAAUCAUAAAAAUUCCAAUCCGAGAUCAUAUACAAACAAGUCAAAUAUUGGUCAAACCUUUCAAGUUUCAAGCUUUAAACUGGGAACUGUUCUUCCAAGUUUAUUCUGAUUAUCUUGAAAACCGAAACCAACGAUUUACAUAAUUCAUAUUACAUCACACGGGGCAAGUCAUGCCCGAGAACUGGCAAGCGAAAUGCAAAAGCUCAAAACGACUGGUCGGGUCGUUACAUCCUUCCCCACUUAAACAUACGUUCGUCCUCGAACGUGCCCAGAGUUGUUCCAAAAGCCAACAAAUUGCUGAAUUACCUCACCAUGCACAUACCCGGGGGUGAUCCCACGUCACCCUAUCUUACAUAGGUUCGAUAACACAAUAUAACUGAAUUUUCACAAUUCAUCCUAGUCCAUAAACCAUAGAACCACAUUUCCACUUCUAAAACACCAACACGAUCAGAAUCUCACAUUUAUACUGUGAAUAAGUCUGAACAAGCUGUAACAAACCAUAUAUGCUAUCUUCGGUGCAAUCACAUAAUAUACCACAUAACUCAACACUUGUAGUGACAACUUCUAACCACAGCAACUGCACACAACAUCCGCAUACCGAUAGAAAAAUUCUUAUCAACUAAACUCUCAUCCCAACACUUUUAUAUACUGCCAAUGAUCACUAAGACACGCGGUAAUCCAUAACCAUUUCCCAGAUCAACCAUUCAUGAAGCCACUUCUUCCUUGGCAAAUACCACAACAAAUUUCUAAACCGAAGCUCGAUACUAUCCUUCCAACAUGCUGAAAUCGCAUCCGUUCGUAUUUAUUAAUGAUCCCAACGAUCUCCUUUAAUCCAACACAUUACUCUGGUGACAUGACACAUCAAUACAGGCCUAAGCUACAACUUGCAUGGUACACAUACCAAUACGCAACAGUCCGAACUUACUCAAAUCAUGAAAAUGACUCAAAUGAAAGAGUCGUACCUCAAGCUCACCGGUACCACCACAACACAAGGCUGAGAACCCGUCUCACAUCAUAGGAACAAAACACAUGAAUCUAACUCGCAAGGUCAUACCUCCACAUAACUUCGCUGCGAUGUGCGAUCCUAUCCAAUACUGCUCCACAUGAACCACCUUAAGUCCCUAUGCUCGAAAUCGACAACCACGCACAAUUUGACAUCUGGAACCAAAGCAAUUCAUCAUACUCACGGUGAAACAAAUAACAUACACCACGCAAACCCGAAAGGACAUAACCGAUACGCCAUUCACCGAGCAACACCCAAUUACUCUUCCCGCUCGACUUCCACUACGAGACCCCAAUAGAACCGCACCAUAUGUGCCUAUAACCAACAAAUCAUAACACCUCGCCACACAGAAAGGUUAACUCAUAGAUCUCCCCAGAUUACUAAUAAACUCAAUAACAAUCGAAUCAACGCAUCCCUCAACAAUACAAUCCGGAGCCAACCGAGCCGACUCAAGUUAGAACAUGCAUCCACAUUGGCCUGCCAACGAACUCCUCAUCAAGGAAAUCCUGAGGUUGUUCCUUCAAAUCCUCUAACUCUGUCGGUGCCAUACGAUAUGGUGCCCGACAUCCAAUCAAUACCGAAAUCAACCACCCUGCAUGGCGACAUGCCCGGCCAUAAGAAACACAUCCGAAAAGUCUAUCACCACAGGAACCGAAUCAAUGGUAGGAGCCUCUGCACUGACAUUUAUCACGAAAGCCCACAUAAGAAAAACAAUUCUUCCCAACCGUCCGCUGGGUCUUUAAAAUAUAAAACCACUUCAAUAGGACAUAAUCCGUCGAACCUCGCCCGUCAAUCCGUGGCAUUUCCGACAUAGACAACAGCGUCGCCUUAGUGCAAUAGUCCAAAAUGACACAACAUGGAGACAACCCCUCUGAACCCAAUAUCACAUCCAAAAUCUAACAUACCAAGCAACGAAAGAUCCGCUCGGGUCACCAUACCCCCUAUAAUCACUAAACAGUGUUGAUACAUGCGACUCACAUUUACAAUAUAGCCUAAAUGUGAGAACUUCCCUGACUCUAAGUCCAUAUGGCACAUGACUCAACACAUCUGAUCCCAAUUCUGCCGUCCGAAUGCAUACCGCACCUCGAAUACCCAAUCAUUCCACGAAAGAUACUCUAAAAUUCCCCUGUGUCACCAAGUAAACUCGAAUAUCAACAGUCAAUCUACCAAGAAAGCGCCGCAAUUCUACCGAAGUACCAUCAACUUAAUCACAUUGCCUUUUCUAAAACAUAUACCCUCGUCAAAUCACUCCCAUUUAGCAAUACCAUUUCCUUAAUCACCUGGAGAUCAUCCCCCUAAUCAUCUGAAGUUCAUUUCUCUAAUCAUCUGAAACUAGCUGCAUAAGAAUUUUAUGACUUUCCGUUCAAAACUGAACUGUAACUUUACACACACAAAUCUCAAUCCUCCACAACAUACCGCAUAUACCAUACCAUCCUAGGAUAACAUGAGAACUUCAUCUCCCUUCCUAGCCACAAACAUCUACGUACUCAACUAGUCAAGAACUUUCCAUUGAUCCCAUCUAGAAGAAAAUCACUAUGCAUCCCAUGCUCCUCAUGCCCAUAGAAAAUAUACAUCUCCAAUCGAAGUAGAAACCAUCAAGAACUCUCCGAGUUCCCCUUGCAGAAGCCAGACCUGCCAGGACUCAAUCCUUCUAACUCGACCAAGCUACGCAAGCCAUCAAAACCUAAGAGCAUUGCCGCGAAAUAUCUAUAGGAACUCAUUA
This 4303-nucleotide long non-coding RNA is filed under the name Nicotiana tabacum (common tobacco). RNAcentral describes it as "long non-coding RNA (NTAB_LNC017557)". The record is from RNAcentral. Lineage: Eukaryota; Viridiplantae; Streptophyta; Magnoliopsida; Solanales; Solanaceae.